Molecule: transfer RNA, 68 nt
Filed under: Ictidomys tridecemlineatus (thirteen-lined ground squirrel)
Lineage: Eukaryota; Metazoa; Chordata; Mammalia; Rodentia; Sciuridae
Also listed under: 1 other name
Description: Spermophilus tridecemlineatus (thirteen-lined ground squirrel) tRNA
Rfam family: tRNA
About the family: Transfer RNA (tRNA) molecules are approximately 80 nucleotides in length.
Source: Rfam by way of RNAcentral
GGGGUUGUGGCUCAGUAGUAGAGCACUUGCCUUGUAGGUAUGAGGCACUGGGUUUGAUUCUCAGCCCA